This is a long non-coding RNA of Setaria italica (foxtail millet), 347 nucleotides long. RefSeq lists it as uncharacterized. Lineage: Eukaryota; Viridiplantae; Streptophyta; Magnoliopsida; Poales; Poaceae. The record is from RefSeq and is a predicted model, not a curated record. The transcript is spliced from 3 exons.
ACCAGCCACUGCAAAAAGCCAACAGGAUACAGGAACAGCCGAACAGGCCCCCGCCCCCCUCGCUCCAUUCCAAAUCACUGUAGGCUGAUAGAGGCUCUUAUGUGCUCACAAGAUUGGUUGCGGAACAAGUAUGAAAUUGACAACGAGGAAAAAGAAGCUGCCACCUUCUGGUCUUGCCUCCAAGAUAUUCAAGAGGGUAUCCAGAACUUGAACUUUGAGCAAAGCAAAACAAGUUGUCUCCAACUCCAAGUGAAGGAAACCAACACAUCAACAAACGACCAGCAUAUUUGUUGUCCUAUAUAUGUUGACUGCAAUGAACAUGGAGAUUUAUUUAUGUACCCCUUUUG